RNAcentral lists this long non-coding RNA (531 nucleotides) under Phasianus colchicus (ring-necked pheasant). RNAcentral's name for it is "lncRNA (ENSPCLG00000003142.1)". Lineage: Eukaryota; Metazoa; Chordata; Aves; Galliformes; Phasianidae. The record is from RNAcentral.
GUCUUGUACUGCAGAUUUACUGGAUUGCCCUGAGGUUGUGCACAUCCCCAUUCUUGACAGUGCUGCAGAUACAGAACAGGAAGACUGCUCUUACCAGAGAAAACAAGUAGGAAGUAUAUCAAAGGCCAAAAUGCAGAACUAAUCUGAAUUUUGACAUGGCUCACUGUCUGCCCAGAAGAGUAAAUGCACCCAACCGCAGCUCUUCUGAUUGCACAAUCUGUUUAUGUCACCUGGGGCAUCAGUUGAGGAGUUCCAGUUUCAGCCGUAAGAUGCCUAAAGUGAGAGGAUUUGGAGAAAUGGAAGUAGCCUUUAUGUUCCUUCACCAUCAGCAAAUGCAACAUAAUAGUGUAAGUACAGGGCUACCUUACUCCCCUGCAAAGUAGUACCAGUUCUAUCAAUUAUAGUAGUAGUUCCUUGUUCAAAUUUUGUAACAGUUUCAUACCAUCUAAGAUUUUUGGCUUUUGUUUUUACACAUGUUUGAAGAUCUUAUAUUUCUUUUUCAGUAAGAGUAGGAUGAUAUUGUGAUGUUAU